This 221-nucleotide long non-coding RNA is filed under the name Nicotiana benthamiana. Its description in RNAcentral is "long non-coding RNA (NBEN_LNC005225)". Lineage: Eukaryota; Viridiplantae; Streptophyta; Magnoliopsida; Solanales; Solanaceae. The record is from RNAcentral.
AAAUAAUCCAGACAUUUGUCGUGUACCUAUUAUGGAAAGCGUUUGGACUCUGUCUCUUUUGCUUUCCUUCUCCUUUUUCUUUGAUGAAUUGUUCUUAGAAACGGUAGACUGCGCAGGAAAGGAUUCGGGUGGGGGAGCGUCUACCUCCUCUCCCAAGCCUGAUGAAUGGCAAAUGGCGCUAGAUCUACCGGAUAAUAAAGUUGUACCGGAAUGUCUACGCU